Molecule: long non-coding RNA, 1469 nt
Filed under: Linum usitatissimum (flax)
Lineage: Eukaryota; Viridiplantae; Streptophyta; Magnoliopsida; Malpighiales; Linaceae
Description: long non-coding RNA (LUSI_LNC006284)
Source: RNAcentral
CUACUCUCCUCUCAAAUCUCUCUGACUUCUCUCUAAAACCUCUCCCUUCUCUCCAACCUUUCUCCUCUCUUCUCUCUUUCUUCUCUACCGCCGCCGCCGCCGCGGCUAUUUUUUUUUACUUUUUUUUUUCUCCACCGCCUCUCCUCAUCUUCCUUUUCUGGUCUCGCCGAAGGCGACGGGCGCCGCCGCCUCCGCCUCCGCCUCCUCUCUUCCCCCACAACGAACAAAGAAAGAAAAACAGAAGGAAGAAAAGGUAAAAACAUGGAAACCCCUCUUUCUACUUUAGUUUUUUUUUGUUUUGACUUCGAUUCGGGCUUGUAUGUUGUCUGCAAAUCCCGAUCUGUGGAUUUACGAUCUGAGUUUUUUUGGUUUUUAUAUUCUUUCCCUGAUUUCUGUUUUGUUUAUGUUGGUUUCUGUUUUCAAUGAAGAUGGGGAUUGGUGGAGCCGGAGAGGCAGAAAAAGUUUCCAUUGACGAUGGACUCACCGGAGCAAAGGACGAGAAAGGUAAAAGGUUGAACCCUUUAUUUAUUCUGAUUUUACUUGGUUGAUGAUAGUAGCUUUGUUUGAUUAGGUCACUUGAAAUAAAAUCAGGACUAUUUUGUUGUUACGAUGAGUUUAGAAAUCUGAACUUUCUAAAAAUUACCCAUUUGUUUGAAAUGUUAUUAUUUAGUGUCAUCCUUGAUAAAAUUUCAGCAACUUGUUAAGUUUUGAAUCUUAUUUUAGGGUUUGCUAGCACGUUUACCAACAUGAAACGUUUCCUUGAUUAGUCAUAAUGAAUAUUCCAGGAUGAUUUUUAAGAGAGUAUAAGUGCCACAAAAUGUAUGUAUGAAUAUUGCAUGAAUGCUUUUGAAUAGGAAUGUUUGGAUGAUUACCUUUGAAUCGAAGCUUCUUUUUUUGUCGUGUUUCAGGUGGUAGUCCCUUGCGAAUGACGACAAAGUGAAUGACGGUAGAAACGGUUGUACUUAGGUUUAGCUCGUGUUUGUAACUUGCUGUAAUAAUUUUCUUUUCUUCUUUAUUUUGGACUGGGACUUGGGGUGCAGGGAUUUUUUCGUCCAAAACCAUUCCUCCCCCCAUUUCUCCUCUUGUUUGUCCAUUUAAAUCAAGAAAAGAGGCUGCCACCUCCCCUCUCCCCCAAUGGAACUUGGCUACGUUUCUUGAAACAAAACAAGAGGUGGCAGCCUCUUAAUUAAUAACAGUAGCGGGCCCGAAAUUGGGCCCAAAAUACCGGGCCCGAAAUCGGGCCCGAAAACAUUGACAUUUCGACGUAGAAAAGAAUUACGAAACUAAAAGUACGAAAGCCCGGACAAAUUUGGUUACUACAAUGAUGAUUGUACCUUUUCCUUCAACUUCUAGCUUUUUACCAUCUCCAAUCUUCACUUGGGACCUACAUGUGUCAUCCAUAUCGGUGAAGGAAUCUCGAUCUCCAGUCAUGUGAUUACUACAACCAUUGUUUCAUCAUCUUAUGCUAC